AAACUAUCUAGAAAGACCAUGCAUAAUAAGCAACAGUCAUAAUCAUGCCAAUCAUAUUACUCAAUUUUCUUUCACUAUUUACAAAUCUUUGCGUGAAGUUGUUUAAACCUCUAUUACAGAGGGCAGAGGGGAUCUCUGACUACCAUUGUGAAUGGAAAACAAUUUAAUUCAGUAUACAGUAGUUAGAUCAUAUACUAUGACCACGAGAUUCUUUGCCACUAUGAUCCCUACAAU
RNAcentral lists this long non-coding RNA (234 nucleotides) under Carica papaya (papaya). RNAcentral describes it as "long non-coding RNA (CPAP_LNC011924)". The record is from RNAcentral. Lineage: Eukaryota; Viridiplantae; Streptophyta; Magnoliopsida; Brassicales; Caricaceae.